UGAAUCCAUAGGUGCAAGAGGCGAACCAGGGGAACUGAAACAUCUAAGUACCCUGAGGAAAAGAAAUCAACCGAGAUUCCCUUAGUAGUGGCGAGCGAACGGGGAUUAGCCCUUAAGCUUCAUUGAUUUUAGCGGAACGCUCUGGAAAGUGCGGCCAUAGUGGGUGAUAGCCCCGUACGCGAAAGGAUCUUUGAAGUGAAAUCGAGUAGGACGGAGCACGAGAAACUUUGUCUGAACAUGGGGGGACCAUCCUCCAAGGCUAAAUACUACUGACUGACCGAUAGUGAACCAGUACCGUGAGGGAAAGGCGAAAAGAACCCCGGAGAGGGGAGUGAAAUA
RNAcentral lists this ribosomal RNA (339 nucleotides) under Salmonella enterica subsp. enterica serovar Enteritidis. RNAcentral's name for it is "partial 23S ribosomal RNA". It matches the Rfam family "Bacterial large subunit ribosomal RNA", at positions 159 to 545 of the family's 2925-position model. The record is from RNAcentral. Lineage: Bacteria; Pseudomonadati; Pseudomonadota; Gammaproteobacteria; Enterobacterales; Enterobacteriaceae.